RNAcentral lists this ribosomal RNA (669 nucleotides) under Beta vulgaris subsp. maritima. Its description in RNAcentral is "eukaryotic LSU rRNA". The stretch from base 271 to 426 matches the Rfam family "5.8S ribosomal RNA". Lineage: Eukaryota; Viridiplantae; Streptophyta; Magnoliopsida; Caryophyllales; Amaranthaceae. RNAcentral also lists the same sequence under 1 other name. The record is from RNAcentral.
GGUGAACCUGCGGAAGGAUCAUUGUCGAAUCUGCAAAGCAGAGCAACCAGCGAACAUGUUUUACAUCUGUGGGAAGGGGGUGCUGGCACGAUGCUUUGGGUUGUGCCAGCCCCUCCCCCAUGUCGCGGGGCACUCCUACUUGGUGUGCUCCCCGGCGAAAAAAACAAACCACGGCGCUUACUGCGCCAAGGAACAUGAAAAGGAGUGUGCCUGUCCUAUGCAUCGGUUUGCCGGUGCGGGGAUGUGGCACCCAGUAUUAAGAGAUAAAACGACUCUCGGCAACGGAUAUCUCGGCUCUCGCAUCGAUGAAGAACGUAGCGAAAUGCGAUACUUGGUGUGAAUUGCAGAAUCCCGUGAACCAUCGAGUCUUUGAACGCAAGUUGCGCCCGAAGCCUUUAGGUCGAGGGCACGUCUGCCUGGGCGUCACGCAUCGCGUCUCCCUACCCCACAUCGUGUGGGAUGGGGAGGAAGAUGGCCUCCCAUGCCUCACCGGGAAUGGAUGGCCUAAAAAAGGAGCCCCUGGCUACAAGCUGCAGCGGCAUUUGGUGGAAGACAAGGCCUUGCCUAGUAUGCAUCCGCGUCGCUCAGCACGUAGGCCGUGGACUCGCAGGACCCUAACAUGUUGCCCCCUGACGGCGACAAACCUUUGCGACCCCAGGUCAGGCGGGG